RNAcentral lists this long non-coding RNA (781 nucleotides) under Equus asinus (donkey). RNAcentral's name for it is "lncRNA (ENSEASG00005035808.1)". Lineage: Eukaryota; Metazoa; Chordata; Mammalia; Perissodactyla; Equidae. The record is from RNAcentral.
UUUUGCUGGAUAAUUCAUAGUAUUCAUCACAUAGACUUUUUAGUCAAUGAUUUUUGCCGUCAGCAAAGUGUUCUACUUCUCAGGCUUUAAAAUGCAAGCCCCAAAUCUGUAACUAUCAGAUUCUCUAGGGCCUAGAGUAAAUACAUUGAUUGCAUUGGUUUUAAAAAGAAGACCAUAAAUUCUUUGACACAGCAAGUGUUUCUAUGUUAAAACGGUUGCUGUCUUAGAAUACUCCCUCUCAGCUUGUGUUUUCUUAGAACCUAGCCACCAUUCUGAGAGAAAGCAAAGCCUCAUGGAGAGGCUAUAUGUAGGUGUUCUGGUCAACAGUCCCAGCUGGGCCCAGCCUUCAAAUCAUUCCAGACAGGAAAGACGUCCUACAGGAAAAUUCACCAAAACAGAGAACACAGGAAGAUAGUCAUCCUGGACCUGCAAGAGUCAUACACAGCGCCAGAGGGGAGAAAACUGGAUAGAACCAUUUGACUGAAUGCCCAUGUCGAAGGUCAAGAGGAAAGAGCUGGGACACUGUGUGGAAGGGUCAGGAAUAAAUGAAAAGUGAAGACGGAGAGACUCCAGAGAGGAGGGACCAGAUAGACUGAUAGGAGACUGAAGGAGGAAAAUUAAUUUUACAGCAACUUCUAGACUUAAUGGAUAGGCCUUUCUAUCUAAAAAAUAUGUAAAUCAUAUAUACUACCAUAUGUCAGGCAUUUACCUGUUUAGGAGAGACCAGUUCACACAAAUGCCAAUACUCCACGCUUAGAAGGCAUACAGGAGUGAAAUAAAU